AACUGUACAGGGCCAUUGACAUGGAGCUGGGAGUAAAGAUAAUCUAGCCAGAUAACUUGGCAUGGUUUUGAGCUGAUGAAACAACGAACUGGCCAUGGAAUCAUCAAGCGACCGUGCCAAUGCCAUCUCUGUAAAGAAUGUUCUUCACAGGUGGAGGAAUCCAAGCUGGAUAAUUGGCAUUCUGACCUUCACUUUCUUCCCAAAUGCAAAUCCCAGCUUCAUUGCUGUAAACAGCCCAAAUGCUAUCAAAACUGGUCUAACUGACCGGUGAAAAUCCUCAAGAUGUUGGUACUCAGGUGCUAAAGUUAACUACCUCGACCUCAGCUGGAUCGGUCAGACUAUGCCGAGUUCCCGACGAACGAACCAAGCUUUCGAUGCACGUUUUCCCUGCAGAUGCCAGCUUGAUGUGGGAGAACCACCCUCCCAAAAAGACCACCAUCUUUGGCUCGUGGUGUUUGAAGAGUUGGUUGUUGCCAUGGUGUUGAAUCCUUCCACUCUCUAUAUCGUCCUGAUCAUAGUUUCUUGAUAGAGAUGAUGUCCUGAUUGUUUGGAGAAAAAAGGAUUCAAGGAUCAGUAAAAAGUGAUGAACGAAUGUGUUGUAUGCAGCAUGAGGCUUAACUCAUUGUUGAUAAGCAACAAAUGUGUAUUAGUGUUACCUAUUGUUCAGUUUUGGGGAAACCUGGCCUUUCUUUGAUUGCUUUCUUAUAACAUUGUAGCCAGUUGUGACAUGCCGGACAAAUUGAAGCUGAUAUUGUUGAAACAAGGAAAUUCUAUGAACAUAUGCAAUGACAUUCCUGAUACUUA
Molecule: non-coding RNA, 804 nt
Organism: Cucurbita pepo subsp. pepo (vegetable marrow)
Lineage: Eukaryota; Viridiplantae; Streptophyta; Magnoliopsida; Cucurbitales; Cucurbitaceae
Source: RefSeq, a predicted model, not a curated record